This 26-nucleotide small RNA is filed under the name Bombyx mori (domestic silkworm). Its description in RNAcentral is "ovarian small RNA-37702". The record is from RNAcentral. Lineage: Eukaryota; Metazoa; Arthropoda; Insecta; Lepidoptera; Bombycidae.
UUGACUUAAUCGGUCCACUACCUGUC